AUGUAUACAAUGGAAUAUUACUCAGCCAUUAGAAACGACAAAUACCCACCAUUUGCUUCAACGUGGAUGGAACUGGAGGGUAUUAAGCUGAGUGAAGCUUUUUGUUCGAAAGUAUUUGUGCGAGGCACAGUUUCUGAGAAAUGUUAACAUCAUAAAUUUAAUCCUGGAUAUCUUUAACGGACAACUGGAGGGAAAAAAAAGAAGACAAAUAAUAUUAGAUUUUGGACUAAAAUGUAAGUUAUCAAUGUGGUUAAUAGUCCCUACUGACAGCUAGAUAAAAAUAAAAUUGCCAGAACAAAAGCAAAAUAAAAUAAUGACACCAAAACCUCGAUAAAUGAGCAAACAAAGGAAUAACAAAUAAGUCUUGAAGAAGUCACCUCUUCUGCUUGCGUGAAUGUGCAAAUUGCACAUGUUCUCCCUGGAGAAAUUGUCCUAUAUUCUAUUUAGUCAGUGUAGACAGAGGCUGUUUAUCUCCAUAAAUAGUGCAUUUUGUGACUUUUUUUGACCAUCUGAAUGACAACUUUUUACACAGCCAACUGAAUUAAUCAUGCAGCUGUUCUUAACUGGUCAUUUAAAAGUGUCAAAAGCAUCAAAGUGACUUCUUGAUCUAUUGUUUUUGCUUGAAGAAACCAAGUUCUGGGAUCCCUGGGUGGCGCAGCGGUUUAGCGCCUGCCUUUGGCCCAGGGCGCGAUCCUGGAGACCCGGGAUCGAAUCCCACGUCGGGCUCCCGGUGCAUGGAGCCUGCUUCUCCCUCUGCCUGUGUCUCUGCCUCUCUCUCUCUCUCUCUCUCUCUCUCUGUGACUAUCAUAAAUAAAUAAAAAAUUAAAAAAAAAAGAAACCAAGUUCUUUUUUAAAAAUUUGAAAUGUAUUGGUUUUGAGUUAUUUGCAUGCUGACCUAAUAAUUUUGUACAUAGUUUUAGAAUAUAUUCUUUGAGGGCAUGCAGGUGUCUUAGUAGGUUAAGCAUCUGUCUUCGGCUCAGGUCAUGAUCCCAGGAAUCUGAGAUUGAAACUAGCAUCAGGCUCCCCACUUCAUGGGGAGUCGGCUUCACCCUCUGCCCUUCUCCCAGUUUCUACUCUCUGUCAAAUACAUGAAAUCUUAAAAAUUUAUAUAUA
This 1113-nucleotide long non-coding RNA is filed under the name Canis lupus familiaris (dog). RNAcentral's name for it is "lncRNA (ENSCAFG00040000873.1)". Lineage: Eukaryota; Metazoa; Chordata; Mammalia; Carnivora; Canidae. The record is from RNAcentral.